RNAcentral lists this ribosomal RNA (2163 nucleotides) under Salmonella enterica subsp. enterica serovar Oslo. RNAcentral describes it as "partial 23S ribosomal RNA". It matches the Rfam family "Bacterial large subunit ribosomal RNA", at positions 659 to 2802 of the family's 2925-position model. Lineage: Bacteria; Pseudomonadati; Pseudomonadota; Gammaproteobacteria; Enterobacterales; Enterobacteriaceae. The record is from RNAcentral.
AGGGGAGCCGGAGGGAAACCGAGUCUUAAUUGGGCGUUAAGUUGCAGGGUAUAGACCCGAAACCCGGUGAUCUAGCCAUGGGCAGGUUGAAGGUUGGGUAACACUAACUGGAGGACCGAACCGACUAAUGUUGAAAAAUUAGCGGAUGACCUGUGGCUGGGGGUGAAAGGCCAAUCAAACCGGGAGAUAGCUGGUUCUCCCCGAAAGCUAUUUAGGUAGCGCCUCGUGAACUCAUCUCCGGGGGUAGAGCACUGUUUCGGCUAGGGGGCCAUCCCGGCUUACCAACCCGAUGCAAACUGCGAAUACCGGAGAAUGUUAUCACGGGAGACACACGGCGGGUGCUAACGUCCGUCGUGAAGAGGGAAACAACCCAGACCGCCAGCUAAGGUCCCAAAGUCAUGGUUAAGUGGGAAACGAUGUGGGAAGGCCCAGACAGCCAGGAUGUUGGCUUAGAAGCAGCCAUCAUUUAAAGAAAGCGUAAUAGCUCACUGGUCGAGUCGGCCUGCGCGGAAGAUGUAACGGGGCUAAACCAUGCACCGAAGCUGCGGCAGCGACGCUCAGGCGUUGUUGGGUAGGGGAGCGUUCUGUAAGCCUGUGAAGGUGGCCUGUGAGGGUUGCUGGAGGUAUCAGAAGUGCGAAUGCUGACAUAAGUAACGAUAAAGCGGGUGAAAAGCCCGCUCGCCGGAAGACCAAGGGUUCCUGUCCAACGUUAAUCGGGGCAGGGUGAGUCGACCCCUAAGGCGAGGCCGAAAGGCGUAGUCGAUGGGAAACGGGUUAAUAUUCCCGUACUUGGUGUUACUGCGAAGGGGGGACGGAGAAGGCUAUGUUGGCCGGGCGACGGUUGUCCCGGUUUAAGCGUGUAGGUGUGUGUUCCAGGUAAAUCCGGUUCACUUUAACACUGAGGCGUGACGACGAGGCACUACGGUGCUGAAGCAACAAAUGCCCUGCUUCCAGGAAAAGCCUCUAAGCAUCAGGUAACAUCAAAUCGUACCCCAAACCGACACAGGUGGUCAGGUAGAGAAUACCAAGGCGCUUGAGAGAACUCGGGUGAAGGAACUAGGCAAAAUGGUGCCGUAACUUCGGGAGAAGGCACGCUGACACGUAGGUGAAGUGAUUUACUCAUGGAGCUGAAGUCAGUCGAAGAUACCAGCUGGCUGCAACUGUUUAUUAAAAACACAGCACUGUGCAAACACGAAAGUGGACGUAUACGGUGUGACGCCUGCCCGGUGCCGGAAGGUUAAUUGAUGGGGUCAGCGCAAGCGAAGCUCCUGAUCGAAGCCCCGGUAAACGGCGGCCGUAACUAUAACGGUCCUAAGGUAGCGAAAUUCCUUGUCGGGUAAGUUCCGACCUGCACGAAUGGCGUAAUGAUGGCCAGGCUGUCUCCACCCGAGACUCAGUGAAAUUGAACUCGCUGUGAAGAUGCAGUGUACCCGCGGCAAGACGGAAAGACCCCGUGAACCUUUACUAUAGCUUGACACUGAACAUUGAGCCUUGAUGUGUAGGAUAGGUGGGAGGCUUUGAAGCGUGGACGCCAGUCUGCGUGGAGCCGACCUUGAAAUACCACCCUUUAAUGUUUGAUGUUCUAACGUGGACCCGUUACCCGGGUUGCGGACAGUGUCUGGUGGGUAGUUUGACUGGGGCGGUCUCCUCCUAAAGAGUAACGGAGGAGCACGAAGGUUGGCUAAUCCUGGUCGGACAUCAGGAGGUUAGUGCAAUGGCAUAAGCCAGCUUGACUGCGAGCGUGACGGCGCGAGCAGGUGCGAAAGCAGGUCAUAGUGAUCCGGUGGUUCUGAAUGGAAGGGCCAUCGCUCAACGGAUAAAAGGUACUCCGGGGAUAACAGGCUGAUACCGCCCAAGAGUUCAUAUCGACGGCGGUGUUUGGCACCUCGAUGUCGGCUCAUCACAUCCUGGGGCUGAAGUAGGUCCCAAGGGUAUGGCUGUUCGCCAUUUAAAGUGGUACGCGAGCUGGGUUUAGAACGUCGUGAGACAGUUCGGUCCCUAUCUGCCGUGGGCGCUGGAGAACUGAGGGGGGCUGCUCCUAGUACGAGAGGACCGGAGUGGACGCAUCACUGGUGUUCGGGUUGUCAUGCCAAUGGCACUGCCCGGUAGCUAAAUGCGGAAGAGAUAAGUGCUGAAAGCAUCUAAGCACGAAACUUGCCCCGA